RNAcentral lists this ribosomal RNA (292 nucleotides) under uncultured bacterium. RNAcentral's name for it is "partial 16S ribosomal RNA". It matches the Rfam family "Bacterial small subunit ribosomal RNA", at positions 505 to 796 of the family's 1533-position model. The record is from RNAcentral.
GUGCCAGCAGCCGCGGUAAGACGAACCGUGCGAACGUUAUUCGGAUUCACUGGGCUUAAAGGGCGCGUAGGCGGUGGACCCAGUCCGGGGUGAAAUCUUUCGGCUUAACCGGAAAAGUGCCUUGGAUACUGGUUCACUCGAGGGAGGUAGGGGCAUGUGGAACUUCCGGUGGAGCGGUGAAAUGCGUUGAUAUCGGAAGGAACGCCGGUGGCGAAAGCGACGUGCUGGCCCUCUUCUGACGCUGAGGCGCGAAAGCCAGGGGAGCAAACGGGAUUAGAAACCCCAGUAGUCC